Molecule: long non-coding RNA, 275 nt
Filed under: Vigna radiata
Lineage: Eukaryota; Viridiplantae; Streptophyta; Magnoliopsida; Fabales; Fabaceae
Description: long non-coding RNA (VRAD_LNC009604)
Source: RNAcentral
GAAGGAUAGGAUUUUCGAUUUUCAUGUAAUCGCUCAGUUUAACACGAUUAACUACGUGGGGAGUUACUUUGUAACUGUUAUAGUUGCAAGAAGUUGUAACCGAUGAGAUUGGGACACAUGACUUUUUAGGAUUCAGGUAUCCGUUUAAACGAAAGUUCACAAACCGUGGAUCGUUGGAUCUUGCUUUUUUUAAUUGCUAAGAUUCAUUCGUCUGAGCGGCCAUUUUGGCUAUAAAUACGAGAUAUGGUCAAUGUCAAAUCUUCUCCUUGAUACGG